Flavobacterium sp. 316 is the source of this 38-nucleotide regulatory RNA element. It matches the Rfam family "DUF805b RNA". From Rfam's summary of the family: Bacteroidetes, Chlorobi (1 example), Proteobacteria. Lineage (Flavobacteria) The record is from Rfam. NCBI's taxonomy places the organism in Bacteria, Pseudomonadati, Bacteroidota, Flavobacteriia, Flavobacteriales, Flavobacteriaceae.
UUGGAGGAACUCGAAAAUCCAAAUUAAUAGAGUAGGGA